This is a long non-coding RNA of Capra hircus (goat), 1195 nucleotides long. RefSeq lists it as uncharacterized. The transcript is spliced from 3 exons. NCBI's taxonomy places the organism in Eukaryota, Metazoa, Chordata, Mammalia, Artiodactyla, Bovidae. The record is from RefSeq and is a predicted model, not a curated record.
CCCGCCCCGCCACCUCCUCGCUCAGACUGGAUCUUGUGCCGGUGAGGUGCGGGGGAGGGGUCACUACCAGGUCUCGGCCUUCGGGGCCACCUUCCCUCUCCCCCUGCUCCUGCAGAAACCAGAGCUGGGGGCGACGGUGCAGCCGGGCGCCAGCGUAUUUGUACGUGACUCUGUGUGAGAGACUCCAGAUAUCUGAACCUUGAGCCAAAAUACACCAAAGAAGAGAUUCUCCUCGCAUCCUCUACCUCCUGGAAGUUACAGAGCAAGCACUGUGGAGACUGUGCAAGCACUGUGGAGUGCUCCUGUGGUUACUAUAUUAUAGAUGGCCACAGGAACAGCCAGCCUGCAGACUCAGACAGCAGCUCCACCCCCAGCUCACGCCACCCUGACUGCAAAUAUGUAAUGGAAGCAAUAGCAUCUUAUUCAAAGAGUUGUUUGAAUGACACAAUAUAGUAAUCAUGUGAGCAAAGUAUUAUGUUCAUGAAGUCUCAGUUCUCACUAAGGAAGCCCCAGUCUUCCGGCUCUGUGCUGAGCGGAGGAGGCUAAACCUGCCAUUCUCAGCUCCCUGUGUCUCAGAGAUGCCCCUUCUCUUUUGUCAUGAGUUCCCAAACUUUAAUGUGCAAAUGCUCUUGGGUAAUGCAAUGAGAAAUUCAUUCUCUGGGACUCGUCCCCAGGCAAUGAAAACACACCUGUAAUACUCUCACCUGCCCUGGUGUCUCCCUUCACAGGUGGCCAGUGCUGAGGCCUCCAGGUCACUGUCUGCUGGCCAGAGCUUGGACUCUGCCUCUCCCCUGGAUUCCCUCAUUCAAGAUCAGGAAUAAAGGAAAGGACUUAGUGUGGACACAGAAACAUGCAGUUUGCCCAUUCAUUUGGCUGCUCUGUGGGUCCUACCCCUGGAGCCAAGAGGCCCCCACCAGGCUCCCCAUCAAGGCUGAGGCCAUAUCCCCACCCAUCUCAUGCACACACACCUGGUAACACCUUAAGCCAAGGAGCUUAAGCUCUCACAACUCUCUGGGAGGAAGGGAGAGACUUCUUUCUCUAUUUUAAGCAGAAAUGCUAGGCUGGCCCUCAGCCUCUGCAGCAUCUCCACUGGGCUGGGGAAGGUCCUUGCCCAUCUCAGGGGCAGGAACUCUAAGAAGUCCUUCCAGAGACUGCCCUGGUGGCACAGUGGAUAAGAAUCCGCCCGUCAAUGCAG